This 460-nucleotide ribosomal RNA is filed under the name uncultured bacterium. RNAcentral describes it as "partial 16S ribosomal RNA". It matches the Rfam family "Bacterial small subunit ribosomal RNA", at positions 338 to 795 of the family's 1533-position model. The record is from RNAcentral.
CCUACGGGAGGCAGCAGUGAGGAAUAUUGGUCAAUGGGCGCGAGCCUGAACCAGCCAAGUCGCGUGAAGGAUGACUGCCCUACGGGUUGUAAACUUCUUUUAUCAAGGAGUAAAGUGAGGCACGUGUGCCUUUUUGUCUGUACUUUAUGAAUAAGGAUCGGCUAACUCCGUGCCAGCAGCCGCGGUAAUACGGAGGAUCCGAGCGUUAUCCGGAUAUAUUGGGUUUAAAGGGAGCGGAGAUGGGUUGUUAAGUCAGUGGUGAAAUUUUGAGGCUCAACCUUAAAAUUGCCAUUGAUACUGGUAGCCUUGAGUACAGUUGAGGUAGGCGGAAUGCGUGGUGUAGCGGUGAAAUGCUUAGAUAUCACGCAGAACUCCGAUUGCGAAGGCAGCAUACUAAACUGCCACUGACAUUGAUGCUCGAAAGUGUGGGUAUCAAACAGGAUUAGAUACCCGAGUAGUC